UCCGCCCCAGCUUCCGCGUCGCAGCCCCGGGAGCAGGAGCGAGAGCGGUGCCGGAACUGUCCCUCUUCGGGGCGGGAGCCAGAGCUGGGGGUCGGGGUCAGACCGGGAGCCUGGGCUGAAGCGGCGGGCACUGACUCCCUGCGAGAUGAAUGGGACAGAAGGCAAUGCUGAGCAACCGGGCCCCGCUGAGCGUUCCCAUCGAAGCAGCGUGUCCUCCGUGGGAGCUCGAGCGGCUGAUGUGCUGGUAUACCUGGCGGAUGACACAGUGCUGCCCCUGGCUGUGGAGAACCUGCCAUCGCUCAGUGCCCAUGAGCUGCACCGGGCUGUCCGUGAGGUCCUGCAGCUCCCAGACAUCGCCCUGGAUGCCUUCGCACUCUGGCUUGUGUCCCCUCUGCUGGCCAUGUCCAUUCAUCACUCGGAAACGGUCCCUGACUUCUCAAAGGCCAUGGUCACCGGCACAUAAGGUGAAAGCACUUUCUCAUUACUGGUGCAGGGUGUUGAGUCCCAGGGCCAGCUGGCUGCCCAGAGUCAAGGGGCUGGGCGUGAGUGGUGCACUUGGCCAUUCUGCCCACCUCCGUGAGGGUCUGUGGUGGGCUGGGGGUACGGCAGUGAAUGGGACAGAGCCACUCUUGCCGGAGUGAUCUGAGGACUCACUGGCUAGUGGGGCAUCAAUGGGGAGGUGACAUCAGAUAGUGGUAAAUACUGUAAAGACAACCAAAUGAGGGUGCAGUUGGCAUGGUGGCAUGUGAUGGGGGGGGAGCUGCCUCAGUGAAGGGUCCAGGGAAGGAGACACUAGAACCAAGACCCAAGCCAGCUGGCCACGUGAGGGUCUAGGGGGGAGAGUACCUGAGACAGGAGGAACGGCAAGUGCAAAGGCCCUGAGGCACCGACAAGGUGGGAAGGUGCAAAUGAUUGAAGAAGGCCAGCAUGGCAGGAACAGAGUGGGAGAGGGAAUGGGAAGGAAAUGAGGUGGGAGAGCUGGAUGGCAUGGAAUGAAGGUCAGCCGGAGCUCCUGAGGGAGAUGCUGGAGGUGGGGCCCAGUGAGGGGGAGGCCCAGGCUCUGCCAGGGGCAGGGGAGGGCAACCCCUCGGGCCUCAGUUACCAGUUUUGGGGUCUGCUUCCUAAUGGCCCUGUGGGGUUCAUCUGACCACCAUCCCUGGCACUUUCCAUCAGCCACAGCCUCUCCGCUCCAGCCCACCCUCGGUGCUGUAGGGAGCAGUCAGAGGCUGGCACUGCCUGGAGCCUGACUCUCUCACUCGGGUGACCUUGGACAAGGAACUUAACCUCUUGGAGCCUCAUUUCUCCCUACGCAUGAAAUGAGGAUAGUGUUAUCACGGGGCAGAUGCCCGUAGUCCACUUGAAGUGCUUCUGGAAGCUUGUACUUGCUCAGUUAAUACUGGCCGUGACUGGGGCUCCUGGGUGGCUCAGUCGGUUGAGCGACCCACUCUUGGUUUCAGCUCAACUCGCGACCUCAGGGUCAUGAGAUCGAGCUUCGCGUCGGACUUCGCACUCAGCAGGGGACUCUGCUUGAGAUUCUCUCUGUCUCUCCCCCCCACCCCUGCAUCUGCGCACGCACCCGCGCG
RNAcentral lists this long non-coding RNA (1583 nucleotides) under Ursus maritimus (polar bear). RNAcentral's name for it is "lncRNA (ENSUMAG00000009704.1)". The record is from RNAcentral. Lineage: Eukaryota; Metazoa; Chordata; Mammalia; Carnivora; Ursidae.